UAUGAAUUCAUGGAUUUUCCAUCUGGGAUUUUUGAAGAAUAAAGUGUUGGACUGCAUUUUGUGUUCUUUGUGGUUUCAAAUUAGUAAUUGGAUACUUGGAUUCUCCUGCGAUCUUCUAUUGUGUUAGAUACUUGAUUUGUUUGGAGGUUAGCUCUUUGUUAAUGAAAUAAUGUAAGGAAAAGAUUUGAAGCCUUCAAUUUAUCAACGUAGUAGGAAAAUAGAUAGCUCUAAUUCCAUUUGGUUCUUGAGAAAACUUAAAUCCCUACUUAUUCAUCGUCUAAUUAUGUUUAUUCCGUGACGUUGAGCUGAGUUUCAGUUUUGUUUAUGAUGGAAAUUUUAAAACUAUGACACGAUCUUGCCCCAAGGUACUGGUCCAGUGAGAAGUUCAAUUAUCUUAAGGUCUCAUAAUGGAGUACACUUACCCCUAUAAUGAGGUUUUGAGUAGGGAGAAAGAAAAAAUAAAGCAGGGGGGAGAACAACUUAUUUGUAAAUGAUAUACAAUUAUGUUUUCGUAUGCCAUUAUUAUUACAUUUUUCUGAUAUUAUAGUUUUGUUUAUGUACUAGUAAAGGAGAAAAGAUGGGUGGAAUUCAAAGGAGAGCAAGAUCCAACCACAAUCCCCGGUAAGCUUUUUAGCAAAAGUUGCUCACUUGUUGACCAUAGCAUAGAGUGGACAGAAAUACAUUCAUAUUAACUGAUCAGGCUGCACAUUGAAAACUAACUACAGUAGAAACUGCAUUGUUUGUUUCCAAUACUUAUGGUUUCUUGCAAUUUGAUUGCUGUAGUUGAAUGGAUAUGUUGGUUGAAUGGGCAGCGAAAGAAAGCUCCAACUCCAGAGGUACUUAAAAAUAUAUUUCAUUGCAUACUUUGACAGCCCCCUCCCCCCUCCACUUCUCAAAGCAGCAAAAACCUCCCUUACCCAAAGAUAAAGUGUAGCAGAAUUAUGAUUCAAAUGCAUAAAAUCUCUUAAAUAGAUAUUAUAUUUGAUAGAAACAUUUUGGUACCAUAGUCUUUUACUUUAGUUACUAAUGUUUCCGGUAAGAUAUCCUGGUGGAAUGAUUUUAAGUUUGAUUUGAUAGUUUAUUGUUUCUAUCUUCAGGAAAUAAUGGAACUUGAAGCAAGGCGUGAACGUGUUAGGCUUAACGUUGCUCGUACGUAUUCUUAGGAUCAUCACUUAACGUGUUCUGCCACUGUAUUCUCUGAAAAUGAUUUGUAAAGCACCAUCACGAUGUAAAGCACUAUUGUUGUGAAAAUGUAAAUCACUACUUCAUUCUCUCUAGCCUCUAUCUAAUUUGUAGUGUAGAGAGCAAAGCUUUAAGAUAGUUUAGCUUUCUUACAAGAACAUCAUGAUAAAUACUAGAUAUAAUGUCAUUAAUAGUAUCAUGUUGAUACUAAAAAGGUAAUUAAGAUGCAGAAAUUGAAUAGAAAAAAGGUAACCAGGAUUUGGCAUCGUGUAGCCUCGAUACAUAUAAAGUAGUUUAAAUUACAGAAAAAAGCACCAUGCCAAACAGUGAGACAGAGCAUAUGAUUGAAGAUCAAGGAGAAUAUAACAGAGCAAAAGGUGCAAGAAUAAUAGAAUCAUUGAACAAAAAUUUCUCUUUAUUCAGUUCCCAAAAUAAGAAGCUCAAGUUACAUGCUGUGGUAUAUAAAACUAUGCACUUCAUUACCAGCAUAUUUAGCAAAUCACAAUAUUUUCACCAACAGAAGGAUAUUGGAGAAAAGAGAAAUGAAUAAGAAGAAAGAAAGAGAUAAAGAUGGUCAACCUAUGAGACUAUGUAAGUGCCUCAGCUCCAGCAACAAUCUCCAAAAUCUCACCAGUGAUUUUUGCCUGUCGUUCCCGAUUAUAAACAAUAGAAAGAUUCUUCCUCAACUCAACUGCAUUAUCAGUAGCAUUACUCAUUGCGUUCAUUCUAGCUGCCAGCUCACUCGCCAAUGAUUCCUGCAAUGCCCUCAAGAUCUGACUAUUCAAAUAGAGAGGCAUCAUGGCAUCGAGAAUCUGAACUGGAUCUUGCUCAAACUGCAUAAGAGGUGAAAUUCCCCCUCCUUCCAUCCUCACCCUAUCCCUCUCCACGAUCAGCUUCCCGCUCUUGGUUGUCAACCUAAACAACUCAUCUUCCAUAGCAUCAACACAAGUCCCAUUCACAUCAAAAACCUUUCCUUGCACUGACAAUGGAAGCAAAGUUCGGAUUACUGGAUCUGAAUUCACCAAAGAUACAAACUUUGUAUAUACAAGCUCAACCUUAUCAACCUCUUCAGUAACAAAUAAUGAAAAAACAUCAUCAGCAAUUAUUUGAGCCUCUUUCGCCGUAGGAAACCCUCCUCCUUCAACAAACCUAUCAACCGAAACAUGAUCCCUACUCCUAAAAUAAGAAUUACCUUUUUUCCCUACACUAAUAACAGUAUAAUCCAAUCCAAGACCUUUCAAUUCCGCAAACCGGGACUCAGCCUUUUUAAUCACUGCAUUGUUGAAACUACCACAAAGGCCCCUAUCGCCAGUUACAACAACGAGAGCUACUUUCCUUACAGGUCUAAUAACAGUUAAAGGACAAUCAAUAUCUUCACAUUGUAAAUUUUCACUAACGGUGAAAAGGAACUCAACUAAAGCCUCAGUAAAAGGCCUACCAUUGAUGACAGCUUCUUGAGCUCUCCUCACCUUUGCAGCUGCCACCAGCUUCAUUGCUUCAGUGAUUUUUUGAGUGUUUUUGACUGUUGCAAUCCGCUCUCGGAGCUCACGAAGACUGCUUUGAACUGGAGCAAAAGGGGAAGGAGAUUGAGAGAGGCUUUUGAGGGGUAAUAUUUGAGGGAAUUGGACAAAUGGGUUUCGGUUAAAUUGAUGAAAGAGUACAUUUUUGUUGGAAUUUGAAGGUUUUGAUGAGAUCCAAGUUGGUAGAUUUGAAGAAUACAUCGUUUUGAGAGAGGGUUUUUGCGGGUUUUAGGUUUAAGCUUUGGGUUCAACUUCACAGUUUGUACAGACAGACCAAGGUGAUGUGAGUUCCUAAGCGAUGGGAAAUAGAAACGACAAUGAUCUGGGGAACAAUCCAACAAACGGGGAUUUGGAGUUCGGACUUUGUUCUUUUGCUCUUAGGCUCUGUUUGGACCUCUACGAGUUACUGAGGACGGAUUAAUUAAUAAUUUUUUCUCAGUAACAAACAGACCCCACUAAAAGUAGAGUCCACGCAUGAAAACUUAAACGCAAAGCGGUAUGUCGUUUUGAGUUGCGCCGUCUCCGUCACCUUCAGCCUCCAUGCCCACGAGUCCUUAAUUGAGCAGGCCAAAAGCCAAAAAAGCGUAGCUUUGGACGCAGAGAUGUCGAAGCUGUUUGCGAGAAUUGCUGGGUGUUUGAGCAACAGAACAUUCAUAGGUGUAGACAAAGCUGGGAAUCGUUACUUCACUAGAAAAGAAGGGAUUGAUGGUAUCCGUAAGUGGGUCUCAUUCCCUUCUCUUUUCAAUUUUUUAUUUUCUAGUUUUGCAUUUUUAUGGAUAUGGGUAUUCGUUAAUGAUCCUGCUUUUGCAUUUGCUAUGUGGGUUUUAUACUAGAGGUCCUUAGUUCUUUUGAAUUUUAUUUUUUGAACUUUUUGCUUUGGUUUCGUGGAGUUUUCUAUAUGAAUUCAUGGAUUUUCCAUCUGGGAUUUUUGAAGAAUAAAGUGUUGGACUGCAUUUUGUGUUCUUUGUGCUUUCAAAUUAGUAAUUGGAUUCUUGGAUUCUCCUGUGAUCUUCUCUUGUGUUAGAUAUUUGAUUUGUUUGGAGGUUAGCUCUUUGUUUAUGAAAUAAUGUAAGGAAAAGACUUGAAGCCUUCAAUUUAUCAAGUAGUAGGAAAAUAGAUAGCUCUAAUUCCAUUUGGUUCUUGAGAAAACUUAAAUCCCUACUUAUUUAUCGUCUAAUUAUGUUUAUUCCGUUUUGUUGAGCUGAGUUUCAGUUUUGUUUAUGAUGGAAAUUUUAAAACUAUGACACGAUCUUGCUCCAAGGUAUUGGUCCAGUGAGAAGUUCAAUUAUCUUAAGGUCUCAUAAUGGAGUACACUUACCCCUAUAAUGAGGUUUUGAGUAGGGAGAAAGAAAAAAUAAAGCAGGGGGGAGAACAUCUUAUUCGUAAAUGAUAUACAAUUAUGUUUUCAUAUGCCAUUGCCAUUAC
This 4127-nucleotide long non-coding RNA is filed under the name Theobroma cacao (cacao). Its description in RNAcentral is "long non-coding RNA (TCAC_LNC004168)". The record is from RNAcentral. Lineage: Eukaryota; Viridiplantae; Streptophyta; Magnoliopsida; Malvales; Malvaceae.